Molecule: long non-coding RNA, 320 nt
Filed under: Actinidia chinensis (golden kiwifruit)
Lineage: Eukaryota; Viridiplantae; Streptophyta; Magnoliopsida; Ericales; Actinidiaceae
Description: long non-coding RNA (ACHI_LNC002228)
Source: RNAcentral
ACAUAAAUUGCCUUUUUCUAUCCCUAAAUUCCCCUAUAAAUGCCCCUCCUCUUCCUCUCAAUUCAUACUGAAAAAUUCUAGAUAAAGGAGAGAAAAAGCAGAAAGAGGCUAAAGAAUUUUUGUGAGAGAGUGGAGUGAGAAAGUUAGGGGUUUGGAGAGUAGUGAGAAAAAAAGUUUUAGUUUAGAUUUUUUAUUUUUGAGAAAAGUGAUGAAAAAAAAGAGAGAAAAAUAGUGUUUUUAGUUAUGGUUCUUUGAAGGUGAAGAACACAUUCAAGGAUGUUCGCGAACUUCAAGAUCCAAUCUCGAGGGCAUGAAGAAAU